Molecule: long non-coding RNA, 1199 nt
Filed under: Anneissia japonica
Lineage: Eukaryota; Metazoa; Echinodermata; Crinoidea; Comatulida; Comatulidae
Description: uncharacterized LOC117120686, transcript variant X2
Source: RNAcentral
CCCUCGGAUGUCGUUCUAUCUCAUUCGGCACAUGUACGUGUUUGGGAAGUCAAGUCUUUGUGUACCCAUGCUAUAAUUGGUCUUGAUUGCUUUGAAGUUGGAAUAUCUGCACUUAGUUUUUCAAAUGAGAAUGAUGGCAAAUGGUUAUUAAUAGUGGACAAUAGUAAACACCACAUCAUAAGUGUUUGGGACUGGAACGAAGAUUUGUUGCUGGCUCAAAACGAGGAAUAUGAAAUAAUAAUUGCUAGAACAGACGAUGUUGAGGUAGAAUGAUUGCUGUGCCAUAGGUCUAUACUAGCAUGUUGCAUUAGUUUGAGCCAACUGAUGAAUAAUUGACUGAUGAGAGACUGACUGGCUAAUUAACUGACUAUGAUUAGCUGAGUGGUUUUUGACUAAUUGACUGACUAAUUGGCUGGCUGCGUGAAUGACUGAUUGUCUGAGUGACAGUGAGUGAGUGAGUGACUGACUUAUUGUCUAAUUGGCUGACUGGCUGGCUGAGCGAGUGAGUGAGUGAGUGAGUGACUGACUGACAAACUGUCUGGAUGACUAGUUGACCGAAUGACAAGUUGAAUGACUGACUGUCUAAGUAACUGACUGACUAAUUGACUAACUGAAUGACUGGAUGAGCGAAUGGUGCUGACUAGUUGAGUGACGAACUGACUAGAUGAGUGACUGCUGUCUGAGGGAGUGAGCGAGUGACUGGUUAAUUGCCUCACUGACUGGCUGCUGAGUGUGUGACUGACUGACUGACUAAGUUGACUGACCAAAUGGCUACUUGACUGACUGACAGACCGACCGACCGUGUAACUGACUGACUAGUUGAUUGGCAGAAUGACUAGUUGACUGACUGACCGUGUAACUGACUGACAAGUUGACUGACAGAAUGACUAGUUGACUGACUGACCGUGUACAGACAGACAAGAAUACUCACUCGUUCAUUAAUUGAUACUGAUUGACAUAAUACUGACUAACCGACUUCCAAAGAAAUUGGGUAGUGGUGACUUAUUAAUUGAUACGCCUGUAUUCAUUGACUGAUUGACUGUUUAAAACAUUGUAUUCUUCAGAAUAUUUCUUUCAUCAAAUGUGUAUGCUGUGAUAGAAAAAAAAGAUAAAUACAAAAGCAUUUCAUAGAAACAAUGUAGAGCACUUGCACUGACUUACUUAACCCUACUAACAUUAUAUAUAUAUACCGCCCUGUA